AGCGCCCGGGAGCGGGCCCGGCCUGCUCCGCGGGAAAGGCACGCGUCCCUGGACCGGACCCCAAAGGCGCCCCGGUUCCACGCCCUGCACAGGGACACCUUCCGCUACACCGGGGGCUCAAAGCCUCAUCCAGCCUGGCCUAGGAACGCUGCCAGUGAUGGGGCAUCCACGGCUACCCCAGCAACCUCACAGGGAAGAAUUUCUUCCCAGUAUCAAUUUAAAAUCUGUCCUCUUUCAGUUUUAAAGUCAUUCCCCUCGGCCUGCCACUACAUGCCUUUGCAAAAAGUCCCCCUCCAGCUCUCUCACAGGCCCCCGCAGGUAGUGGAAGUCUGCUCCGAGGCCUCCUCCAGGCUGACCGCAGCUCUCUGAGGAGAUGACUCUGUUGUUUCUUUGUGGAGCUGCUCCGUGCCUCAGCUGCACCCUCUAGUCAGCACAGCUCUGUCUGUCCCCGUGAUGGACUGGAGAGCUCGCUGGACUCUUCUGGGGAGCAGCAGCCAGACCCUGCCUGCAAACCAUCUUCCAGAGCAUCCCCCCGCCCCUCCCGUGGCCAUCCAAUGCCUGUGACAUGCUGGGACUCCUGGCAGACAAGAACACAGUGAACAUCAUGCUUAGCCCUCUCUCAGAAGGCCUGAAUGUUAUUACCAAGAUGGAAGCACAUUUAAGAAAAGAAGUGGCAGAACUGGAGAAACUGGCACUGGACACGUACCCUGUGGCAACUGAAAUAAAGGAAAUCAUCUCAAAUGCAGAAAGUUUCAACACACUUACUGAAUUUCAGAGUCAGAUUCUGACUGUGGAGGAAAACCUUUGUUAGAACAUGUGGAAUGAGAAGAAUCUGCAUAACAAGAUGACAUAGGAAAGACUGGAGAUGGAUGGGAUUGUUUGAACUAGACCACCUUAAGCAGGUUCCCAGCUGUAGCAAAGGGCUGGCAGCACCCUGAAGAAUCUAAGUGCUGAAAUCUGCUUCUAGCAAAGUGUUUUUGGGAGCUGCUGUCCAUGAUGUGCCUCCAUGCUGUAACUGUUGAGCCCAGCCUGUGUCCAAGCGUGCGGCUUAGGUGAAGUUUGUUCAUAUGCUACUGGUGUGAAAGGAAAGAGCCACAUACUGGGAGCUGGCUGCUCCUCAGAACUGAGCCCUUUACCUGCCAGCUGUCCUCAGAUGGCACACACAACACUGUGAUACUGGCAUACACAACAAAUAAAUAAAGAACAACUUCCAACUCCAGAUUCUCAGCAAAAUUA
Molecule: long non-coding RNA, 1236 nt
Organism: Melospiza georgiana
Lineage: Eukaryota; Metazoa; Chordata; Aves; Passeriformes; Passerellidae
Exons: 2
Source: RefSeq, a predicted model, not a curated record